AGCGAACGCUGGCGGCAGGCUUAACACAUGCAAGUCGAGCGGGCACUUUCGGGUGUCAGCGGCGGACGGGUGAGUAACGCGUGGGAACGUGCCCUCUGGUUCGGAAUAACUCAGGGAAACUUGAGCUAAUACCGGAUACGCCCUUUUGGGGAAAGGCUUGCUGCCGGAGGAUCGGCCCGCGUCUGAUUAGCUAGUUGGUGAGGUAACGGCUCACCAAGGCGACGAUCAGUAGCUGGUCUGAGAGGAUGAUCAGCCACACUGGGACUGAGACACGGCCCAGACUCCUACGGGAGGCAGGAGUGGGGAAUAUUGGGCAAUGGGCGCAAGCCUGAUCCAGCCAUGCCGCGUGAGUGAUGAAGGCCUUAGGGUUGUAAAGCUCUUUUAUCCGGGACGAUAAUGACGGUACCGGAGGAAUAAGCCCCGGCUAACUUCGUG
Molecule: ribosomal RNA, 435 nt
Filed under: uncultured bacterium
Lineage: Bacteria
Description: partial 16S ribosomal RNA
Rfam family: Bacterial small subunit ribosomal RNA
Source: RNAcentral